This 409-nucleotide ribosomal RNA is filed under the name uncultured microorganism. Its description in RNAcentral is "bacterial SSU rRNA". It matches the Rfam family "Bacterial small subunit ribosomal RNA", at positions 9 to 417 of the family's 1533-position model. The record is from RNAcentral.
GAGUUUGAUCCUGGCUCAGAUUGAACGCUAGCGGGAUGCCUUACACAUGCAAGUCGAACGGCAGCACGGACUUCGGUCUGGUGGCGAGUGGCGAACGGGUGAGUAAUGUAUCGGAACGUGCCUAGUAGCGGGGGGAUAACUACGCGAAAGCGUAGCUAAUACCGCAUACGCCCUACGGGGAAAGCAGGGGAUCGCAAGACCUUGCACUAUUAGAGCGGCCGGAUAUCGGAUUAGCUAGUUGGUGGGGUAACGGCUCACCAAGGCGACGAUCCGUAGCUGGUUUGAGAGGACGACCAGCCACACUGGGACUGAGACACGGCCCAGACUCCUACGGGAGGCAGCAGUGGGGAAUUUUGGUACAAUGGGGGAAACCCGUGAUCCAGCCAUCCCGCGUGUGCGAUGAAGGCCU